CCCGCACAAGCGGCGGAGCAUGCGGAUUAAUUCGAUGCAACGCGAAGAACCUUUACCAGGUCUUGACAUCCCGAUGCUAUUUCUAGAGAUAGAAAGUUACUUCGGUACAUCGGUGACAGGUGGUGCAUGGUUGUCGUCAGCUCGUGUCGUGAGAUGUUGGGUUAAGUCCCGCAACGAGCGCAACCCCUAUUGUUAGUUGCCAUCAUUCAGUUGGGCACUCUAGCGAGACUGCCGGUAAUAAACCGGAGGAAGUGGGAUGACGUCAAAUCAUCAUGCCCCUUAUGACCUGGGCUACACACGUGCUACAAUGGUUGGUACAACGAGUUGCGAGUCGGUGACGGCGAGCUAAUCUCUUAAAGCCAAUCUCAGUUCGGAUUGUAGGCUGCAACUCGCCUACAUGAAGUCGGAAUCGCUAGUAAUCGCGGAUCAGCACGCCGCGGUGAAUACGUUCCCGGGCCUU
Molecule: ribosomal RNA, 460 nt
Filed under: uncultured Streptococcus sp.
Lineage: Bacteria; Bacillati; Bacillota; Bacilli; Lactobacillales; Streptococcaceae
Description: bacterial SSU rRNA
Rfam family: Bacterial small subunit ribosomal RNA
Source: RNAcentral